RNAcentral lists this ribosomal RNA (993 nucleotides) under Mucilaginibacter sp. Its description in RNAcentral is "bacterial SSU rRNA". It matches the Rfam family "Bacterial small subunit ribosomal RNA", at positions 73 to 1069 of the family's 1533-position model. The record is from RNAcentral. Lineage: Bacteria; Pseudomonadati; Bacteroidota; Sphingobacteriia; Sphingobacteriales; Sphingobacteriaceae.
GAGAAGCUUGCUUUUCAUGAGAGUGGCGCACGGGUGCGUAACACGUAUGUAACCUACCUUAUCCAGGGGGAUAGCCUCUCGAAAGAGAGAUUAACACCGCAUAACAUUAUUGAACAGCAUUGUUUAAUAAUCAAAUAUUUAUAGGGAUAAGAUGGGCAUGCGGGACAUUAGCUAGUUGGCGGGGUAACGGCCCACCAAGGCGACGAUGUCUAGGGGAUCUGAGAGGAUGACCCCCCACACUGGUACUGAGACACGGACCAGACUCCUACGGGAGGCAGCAGUAAGGAAUAUUGGUCAAUGGGCGCAAGCCUGAACCAGCCAUGCCGCGUGCAGGAAGACGGCCCUACGGGUUGUAAACUGCUUUUGCAGGGGAAUAAACCCCGGUACGUGUACCGGGUUGAAUGUACUCUGAGAAUAAGGAUCGGCUAACUCCGUGCCAGCAGCCGCGGUAAUACGGAGGAUCCAAGCGUUAUCCGGAUUUAUUGGGUUUAAAGGGUGCGUAGGCGGCCUAUUAAGUCAGGGGUGAAAGACGGUAGCUUAACUAUCGCAGUGCCUUUGAUACUGAUGGGCUUGAAUACACUAGAGGUAGGCGGAAUGUGACAAGUAGCGGUGAAAUGCAUAGAUAUGUCACAGAACACCAAUUGCGAAGGCAGCUUACUAUGGUGUGAUUGACGCUGAGGCACGAAAGCGUGGGGAUCAAACAGGAUUAGAUACCCUGGUAGUCCACGCCCUAAACGAUGAACACUCGAUGUUAGCGAUAUACAGUUAGCGUCUAAGCGAAAGCGUUAAGUGUUCCACCUGGGGAGUACGCCCGCAAGGGUGAAACUCAAAGGAAUUGACGGGGGCCCGCACAAGCGGAGGAGCAUGUGGUUUAAUUCGAUGAUACGCGAGGAACCUUACCCGGGCUUGAAAGUUAGUGAAUGAUUCAGAGACGGAUCAGUCCUUCGGGACACGAAACUAGGUGCUGCAUGGCUGUCGUCAGCUCGUGCCGUG